Molecule: ribosomal RNA, 21 nt
Filed under: Anopheles maculipennis
Lineage: Eukaryota; Metazoa; Arthropoda; Insecta; Diptera; Culicidae
Description: partial 28S ribosomal RNA
Source: RNAcentral
CAUGGGCCUCAAAUAAUGUGU